AGCAGCCGCGGUAAUUCCAGCUCCAAUAGCGUAUAUUAAAGUUGUUGCAGUUAAAAAGCUCGUAGUUGAAUUUCGGGGUUUAUCCGUUGGUCGGGCUUUCGGGUCUGUACUGGCGUGAUGGAUUCCUACCUUCUGAAUAACCAGCAUGUCAUUAAUUUGGUGCGUUGGGGAAGCAGGACUGUUACCUUGAAAAAAUUAGAGUGCUUAAAGCAGGCUAUUGCCUGAAUACAUUAGCAUGGAAUAAUGAAAUAGGACGCAUGGUUCUAUUUUGUUGGUUUCUAGGAUCACCGUAAUGAUUAAUAGGGAUAGUUGGGGGCAUUAGUAUUCAAUUGUCAGAGGUGAAAUUCUUGGAUUUAUUGAAGACUAACUUCUGCGAAAGCAUUUGCCAAGGAUGUUUUCAUUAAUCAAGAACGAGAGUUAGGGGAUCGAAGACGAUCAGAUACCGUCGUAGUCUUAACCAUAAACUAUGCCGACUAGGGAUCGGACGAUGUUAAUUUUAAUGACUCGUUCGGCGCCUUAA
RNAcentral lists this ribosomal RNA (520 nucleotides) under uncultured Glomeromycotina. Its description in RNAcentral is "SSU rRNA". It matches the Rfam family "Eukaryotic small subunit ribosomal RNA", at positions 569 to 1091 of the family's 1831-position model. Lineage: Eukaryota; Fungi; Glomeromycota. The record is from RNAcentral.